GACUUUGAUCUCAGCAACGAUGUGAGUCGUAGUAAAAAGAAAAUUCGUUGGCUUUAUAGACCGUGAGG
Molecule: transfer RNA, 68 nt
Filed under: Phlegmariurus brachiatus
Lineage: Eukaryota; Viridiplantae; Streptophyta; Lycopodiopsida; Lycopodiales; Lycopodiaceae
Description: partial tRNA-Leu
Source: RNAcentral